RNAcentral lists this non-coding RNA (45 nucleotides) under Echinostoma caproni. The record is from RNAcentral. Lineage: Eukaryota; Metazoa; Platyhelminthes; Trematoda; Plagiorchiida; Echinostomatidae.
GCACUGCUGACGAGUCCCGAACAGGACGAAACAGCUGUCCAUUGC